This 692-nucleotide ribosomal RNA is filed under the name Pontibacillus sp. RNAcentral describes it as "bacterial SSU rRNA". It matches the Rfam family "Bacterial small subunit ribosomal RNA", at positions 1 to 723 of the family's 1533-position model. The record is from RNAcentral. Lineage: Bacteria; Bacillati; Bacillota; Bacilli; Caryophanales; Bacillaceae.
AAAAAACUUAAUCUUGAUCCCUUCGGGGUGACGUUAGUGGAUCGCAUGUUUGUGCGGACGGGUGAGUAACACGUGGGCAACCUACCUGUAAGAUCGGGAUAACCCCGGGAAACCGGAGCUAAUACCGGAUAAUAUUUCGAACCGCAUGGUUCGGAAUUGAAAGACGGCUUUUGCUGUCACUUACAGAUGGGCCCGCGGCGCAUUAGCUAGUUGGUAAGGUAACGGCUUACCAAGGCAACGAUGCGUAGCCGACCUGAGAGGGUGAUCGGCCACACUGGGACUGAGACACGGCCCAGACUCCUACGGGAGGCAGCAGUAGGGAAUCUUCCGCAAUGGACGAAAGUCUGACGGAGCAACGCCGCGUGAACGAUGAAGGUCUUCGGAUCGUAAAGUUCUGUUGUUAGGGAAGAACAAGUACCAGAGUAACUGCUGGUACCUUGACGGUACCUAACGAGGAAGCCACGGCUAACUACGUGCCAGCAGCCGCGGUAAUACGUAGGUGGCAAGCGUUGUCCGGAAUUAUUGGGCGUAAAGCGCGCGCAGGCGGUUCCUUAAGUCUGAUGUGAAAGCCCACGGCUCAACCGUGGAGGGUCAUUGGAAACUGGGGAGCUUGAGUACAGAAGAGGAGAGUGGAAUUCCACGUGUAGCGGUGAAAUGCGUAGAUAUGUGGAGGAACACCAGUGGCGAAGGCG